UACGUAGGGGGCGAGCGUUGUCCGAAGUUACUGGGCGUAAAGCGCGCGUAGGCGGCUCUUUAAGUCCGGCGUGAAAGGUUCAGGGCUCAACCCGAACAGUGCGCUGGAGACUGGAGAGCUUGAGGAUGGGAGAGGGAAGCGGAAUUCCGGGUGUAGCGGUGAAAUGCGUAGAUAUCCGGAGGAACACCGAUGGCGAAGGCAGCUUCCUGGCCCAUAUCUGACGCUGAGGUGCGAAAGCGUGGGGAGCGAACGGG
RNAcentral lists this ribosomal RNA (254 nucleotides) under uncultured bacterium. Its description in RNAcentral is "partial 16S ribosomal RNA". It matches the Rfam family "Bacterial small subunit ribosomal RNA", at positions 524 to 776 of the family's 1533-position model. The record is from RNAcentral.